Molecule: ribosomal RNA, 237 nt
Filed under: uncultured bacterium
Lineage: Bacteria
Description: partial 16S ribosomal RNA
Rfam family: Bacterial small subunit ribosomal RNA
Source: RNAcentral
CGAACGGGUGAGUAACGCGUGAGGAACCUGCCUCAAAGAGGGGGACAACAGUUGGAAACGACUGCUAAUACCGCAUAAGCCCACGGGUCGGCAUCGACCUGAGGGAAAAGGAGCAAUCCGCUUUGAGAUGGCCUCGCGUCCGAUUAGCUAGUUGGUGAGGUAAUGGCCCACCAAGGCAACGAUCGGUAGCCGGACUGAGAGGUUGAACGGCCACAUUGGGACUGAGACACGGCCCAG